AUACGGAAGGUGCAAGCGUUACUCGGAAUCACUAGGCGUAAAGCGCGCGUAGGCGGUCUUUUAAGUUGGAUGUGAAAGCCUACAGCUCAACUGUAGAACUGCAUCCAAAACUAUUAGACUAGAGUCUGGGAGGGGAAGAUGGAAUUAGUUGUGUAGGGGUAAAAUCCGUAGAGAUAACUAGGAAUACCAAAAGCGAAGGCGAUCUUCUGGAACAGUACUGACGCUGAGGCGCGAAAGCGUGGGGAGCAAACAGGAUUAGAAACCCGGGUAGUCC
Molecule: ribosomal RNA, 274 nt
Filed under: uncultured bacterium
Lineage: Bacteria
Description: partial 16S ribosomal RNA
Rfam family: Bacterial small subunit ribosomal RNA
Source: RNAcentral